This 2110-nucleotide long non-coding RNA is filed under the name Piliocolobus tephrosceles (Ugandan red Colobus). RNAcentral describes it as "lncRNA (ENSPTEG00000004541.1)". Lineage: Eukaryota; Metazoa; Chordata; Mammalia; Primates; Cercopithecidae. The record is from RNAcentral.
GGGUUGAAUACCCAGCAUAAACGUAAUGUAUUUUUCAUUAUAAAUAAAAAAAAUAAAUAAAUGAAAUAAAAAAAAAAUAAAUAAUAAUAAUAAUAAUAGUAAUAACAAUAAUAAUAAUAAUAAUAAUAAUAAUAAUAAUAAUAAUAAUAAUAGUAAUAAUAAUAACAAUAGUAAUAGUAAUAAUAAUAAUAUGUAACAAAUAGCCAACAACAAAUAACAAAUAAUUUAAAAAGAAAUAAUAAGAUAAACUGAAACAUAUAUACUCGCACAUACACACAAUCCCACAUAUGCACCAACGUAAAUGAAAACAAAAUGCUACUAUUUCAUUUUUUUGGCUAUAAGAACUAUUUUCAGCAUUAAAUUAAAAAGUAGCAAAAAAGAUGUUUUUUUUUUAAGUAACUUUAUACAAGAUUUGUCAAAUGUAAAUAGCAAUAAGAUAAAAAUAGGAAACAAAAGAAUAAAAAAAUAUGUGAGUAAUUUAUUUAAUAAAGUUAGCUUUAAAAAAUCAUUUAUUAUAAAAAAAAACGUAGGUGUGACUCCUCAAUUAUAUUGUAAUAAAAAUGACACAGAUAAAAAUGGAUUAAGUCACAGUAACAGUGAUAACGAUAAAGAUAUCAUAAUAAAUAAAAGUAAAGAGAAAGUGAUUGAACAAAGUGUGGUCCCGUUAAAUAUGGAUUGGAUAAAAGUCAUGAAUUUAAUAUACGCUAGUAAAGAUGUAGAUGCAACUACUUUAGCUUUUAAUGCAGCAGUUUCAGCGAUUGAAAAAAAAGGGUGUUUAGUAACAAUGUUAGAGAUAUUUGAAAUAAUGAAAAAAAAAAAUAUAAAACCAGAUUUAGUUUCGUAUAAAUUAUUAUUAAGUUUAUGUGAUAAAUAUCAUUUAGCUGAUCAUGCUGAAAUAAUAUUUAAUGACAUGGUUGAACAAGAUAAGAUAUUACCAAAUUAUGAAAUUUAUUCAAUUAUGAUUAGUUGCUUUUCUAAAGUUGGUAAUGGUCAUAAAGCUAUCGAAUUUUUUGAAAAACUUCGAAACGAUCCGUUUGUUGAAAAUAUAAAAAAUUUCAAACUAAAUGAUGAACAAACAAAAUUAGAAAAGUGGAAAAAUAUUUUUUCAAAAGAGAAUUUAAGUCAAAACAAUAAAGAGGAGGAAUUUGAAAAAACUGAGUAUAAGCAACGGUUUAAGGAAAUUACAAAUAAAAUAAAAAAUAUGCAAAAAGGCAAUAAUCAAAUUCAGUAUGCUGAAUAUGCAAAUGUUAUUUUUGCUUGCAACAUGGCUAAUUUACAUGAACAAGGAAUAAAAUAUAUUGAUGAGUUGCUAAAUGGAGGGACUAACAGUAGCAGUAAUAGUGAUAACAAAUAUAUGCCAUCCGUGUUCAUUUUUGAAAACAUAUUUGAAUUGCUAGCGAAAAAUGGAGAUUAUGAAAAAUGUUUAGAGUAUUACACAAAACUAAAAGAAGAUCCUAAUUUUAAACACUAUAUUAACAUAAACAUAUUAAAUAACAUUUUAAAAGCUUUAAGUAUAUAUAAUAAAAUUAAUGUUAUUGAAGACAUAUGGCAACAAGAAUUUGACGAUUUAUUUUUAGUCCCUAAUUGUUUAUCAUAUCAAAUUAUGUUAUCAGUUUAUAGUAACACCGAUGAUUAUGAAAAAGCUUUUAAAAUGUUUAAAGAAAUGCAACUAAAAAAGCUUUUAAAUAAAAAUAACAUCUUACCCUUUAUAUAUACAAUUAAUGUUUUUAAAAAUUGUGGCAUAUUUAAUUAUGCUAUUUAUGUAUUAAGAGUGGGUAUACAUAUAGGAAUUGUUGGGCAGCAGCUUGUAAUUUUAUAUCAACAUACUAUGAUAACCUGUGCAAAUGCAAAACAAUAUGAAAUGAUACUUUCGUUAUACACAGAAUUGAUAACUAUGCAGGAAAAAAAUACAGCUAUAAAAAUAAACAUUGCCAUACUUAGUUUUGUUCUCUUAGCGUUCAAAGAGUUAAAAAUGAAAGAAAGUUUUAUAGAAUUAAAAAAUUUAAUUACUCAAAAAAAUUACAAAUUAACUCCUUUAUGUUCGAGUUUGAUUGAUGGGGUUCACGAUUGGUAGAUAGUGCUUACCCUUUUUGUAUAGACAUCCGGAGUG